AAGUAUAAAUGUAUGGAUGUUUCUGAUAUUGUCGAAGAAGAUGAGGAAGCCUUUUUAAAGGGCUCUAGUAAAGUAUUUCAGUUGCAGUCACAUGGAAACCAAUAUGACGUGUCAGUAUUUAAUGAUGAUGGCUCAGAAUCAGGAAAUUUUGGUAUUAUGCAAGGGUCAGUUCAAAAUGAGAAACAAAGGAGCUCUUGUGUUAGUGCAGAAC
Molecule: unclassified non-coding RNA, 211 nt
Filed under: Hevea brasiliensis (rubber tree)
Lineage: Eukaryota; Viridiplantae; Streptophyta; Magnoliopsida; Malpighiales; Euphorbiaceae
Source: RNAcentral